This 647-nucleotide ribosomal RNA is filed under the name uncultured bacterium. Its description in RNAcentral is "bacterial SSU rRNA". It matches the Rfam family "Bacterial small subunit ribosomal RNA", at positions 110 to 753 of the family's 1533-position model. The record is from RNAcentral.
GUAAUGCAUCGGAACGUGCCCAGUUGUGGGGGAUAACGUAGCGAAAGUUACGCUAAUACCGCAUACGACCUACGGGUGAAAGCGGGGGAUCGCAAGACCUCGCGCAAUUGGAGCGGCCGAUGUCGGAUUAGCUAGUUGGUGAGGUAAAGGCUCACCAAGGCAACGAUCCGUAGCUGGUUUGAGAGAAUGACCAGCCACACUGGGACUGAGACACGGCCCAGACUCCUACGGGAGGCAGCAGUGGGGAAUCUUGGACAAUGGGCGAAAGCCUGAUCCAGCAAUGCCGCGUGAGUGAAGAAGGCCUUCGGGUUGUAAAGCUCUUUCGGACGGGACGAAAUGGCAUCCGCCAAUACCGGGUGUCGAUGACGGUACCGUAAGAAGAAGCACCGGCUAACUACGUGCCAGCAGCCGCGGUAAUACGUAGGGUGCGAGCGUUAAUCGGAAUUACUGGGCGUAAAGCGUGCGCAGGCGGUUCGUUAAGACAGAUGUGAAAUCCCCGGGCUUAACCUGGGAACUGCAUUUGUGUCUGGCGGACUAGAGUUCGGUAGAGGGGGGUGGAAUUCCACGUGUAGCAGUGAAAUGCGUAGAGAUGUGGAGGAACACCGAUGGCGAAGGCAGCCCCCUGGGCCUGAACUGACGCUCAUGCA